Molecule: long non-coding RNA, 653 nt
Organism: Bombina bombina (fire-bellied toad)
Lineage: Eukaryota; Metazoa; Chordata; Amphibia; Anura; Bombinatoridae
Exons: 2
Source: RefSeq, a predicted model, not a curated record
GUAAUUAAUGCAAAAUUCAUCUCAUUAAACAGACUGCUCCAUUCUAGAUGACAGGGAUGCGACCCUGUGACAAUGUGCCACAACUCUGCACUCAUAUUUACUUCCUGGGGUCUCAGCCACAUCACACAAACCACAGGCUUAACCACACAGGGAGAUAAUCUAAAUAGUCUCAUACUGAGAGACCGUAGGCUGCUAUGGUCAGGAUGCUGUUGUGUAUCUUAAACAGAGACUUGUGAGUACCCAGACUGCUUAUUGGUAAUGACUACAUGCGCCAUUUAUCUAAAAUGCCAGGUCAAGUGUUUGAAUGAGAGACUAAGACGACUUCCCUUCAUGAUGAGGAAUUUCACUUAUGACCUUCUGUACAAGAUAUGAUACUCUUGAGAAAGAUCAUUUUUCUCCAUUAAUAGAAGUGUGUUUAUUAUGUAUGUUGCUAAAAUUCAUCAGACAUGUUUAUUUGUUAAUAUCCAUUCAAGAAGGAAUUUUAUAAUACAUAUGUUUUUUCCAGUGUUUUUUGGAGAUACUGCUUAUAGACAAGCUAAACACAAGACAAGAUUGUACUAGUAGCUGCCGUUACCAGCUGUACGGUGAAAUAAAUCAGAAUGUUAAAGGAACAGAAAAGAGAUAUAAUAAUAAAAGUCGUCAUUUUUUAAAAG